This 490-nucleotide ribosomal RNA is filed under the name uncultured bacterium. Its description in RNAcentral is "partial 16S ribosomal RNA". It matches the Rfam family "Bacterial small subunit ribosomal RNA", at positions 30 to 507 of the family's 1533-position model. The record is from RNAcentral.
AUUGAACGCUGGCGGCAUGCCUUACACAUGCAAGUCGAACGGCAGCAUGAUCUAGCUUGCUAGAUUGAUGGCGAGUGGCGAACGGGUGAGUAAUACAUCGGAACGUGCCCUGUAGUGGGGGAUAACUAGUCGAAAGAUUAGCUAAUACCGCAUACGACCUGAGGGUGAAAGUGGGGGACCGCAAGGCCUCAUGCUAUAGGAGCGGCCGAUAUCUGAUUAGCUAGUUGGUGAGGUAAAGGCUCACCAAGGCGACGAUCAGUAGCUGGUCUGAGAGGACGAUCAGCCACACUGGGACUGAGACACGGCCCAGACUCCUACGGGAGGCAGCAGUGGGGAAUUUUGGACAAUGGGCGAAAGCCUGAUCCAGCAAUGCCGCGUGUGUGAAGAAGGCCUUCGGGUUGUAAAGCACUUUUGUCCGGAAAGAAAUGGCUCUGGUUAAUACCUGGGGUCGAUGACGGUACCGGAAGAAUAAGAACCGGCUAACUACGUG